GCCUUGUUAGCGCAGUAGGUAGCGUGUCAGUCUCAUAUAAUCUGAAGGUCGUGAGUUCAAUCCUCACACAGGGCA
RNAcentral lists this transfer RNA (75 nucleotides) under Ameiurus melas (black bullhead). It matches the Rfam family "tRNA". From Rfam's summary of the family: Transfer RNA (tRNA) molecules are approximately 80 nucleotides in length. Their secondary structure includes four short double-helical elements and three loops (D, anti-codon, and T loops). Lineage: Eukaryota; Metazoa; Chordata; Actinopteri; Siluriformes; Ictaluridae. The record is from Rfam by way of RNAcentral.